Tupaia belangeri chinensis (Chinese tree shrew) is the source of this 1358-nucleotide RNA transcript. It is a transcript of the gene named interferon-induced transmembrane protein 1-like, with no coding region annotated. The record is from RefSeq and is a predicted model, not a curated record. Lineage: Eukaryota; Metazoa; Chordata; Mammalia; Scandentia; Tupaiidae. The transcript has 5 exons.
UUCUCCCAUCUGUCCCGGAUCCACCUGGAGUGGGGUGUGGUGUCCGGUCGCUGCCCAAACACCCACAGCCCCUUUCCCUUGCUCAGCCUGCAGGGGUGACCCCGCGCAGGGUGAUGGGGGCUCACAGGGGCCUCUGCCUGGGCCCUACGUGUGAGGCCGAGGAGGGACCGAGGCCAGGCGCAGUCCGGAGCCAGCGGGAGGAAGCGGGCACACAGGCCUCAGGGCGUGAAGACGAACCUGCUUGGGGGCUGGAGGCCCGCGGCACCCUGGGGGCCUGGCACAGGCGGCGAGGCAAAGGGCGCUGCCACUGAUCAGACCCCGCCCGGAUUCGGAGGGGUCCCCGGAUGGGCCGCGCCGGGCAAGCGCCUGGGCGGUCAGCUUCGGUCAGAAGCCCCCUCCCACUGCGGGAACCUGAGAAGAGGGUCCCGCCAGGUGGGGAAGACCCUGGGCGCACGGCCGGGAACUGCUGGAGCAGCCGAGGCGCCGGCAGGGGAGCAGCGGGCGGAGCGCGGGGGAAGCCCUUUCCGGGCCUCCUCCGCCUUGGGCUGCUGCCCCGUGGGGAGCUCCCGGUGGCCACCCAGGGCCGCUGCCUCCCGGAGCAACGUGCGAGGGCAAGGAGGGCGGGAGGACGAUCGCUGGCUGGGGAGCAGGGCGGGGAUGGCCGUGGGACCGGGCGGUGGGACGGGCCGUGGGGACACGCCAUGGGGACAGGCUGGCCAAGAGCGCUGUGGCCUCCCGGUGGUGGUGAUGGGCCGGGCUGAAACCUGGGCGGGGCAGUGCUGCGCAGGAUAUGGGAGAGGGUCUUCCAGAAGUCUUUCCACCCUGCUCCACUGAUAAUGUUUUAUUCUCGCCUGGGCUCGGGGCUCCCCAAGUCCUGGAGGAAAACCCGGGGGAUCACGAGGCUCUUAGCCAGAGUGGUCCCGAGCUGGGCCUGGAAGCCACACAAGAGGGCACUGGCAGGGGAGGCCAAGACCGCCGCUGUCCUGGAAAAAGGCCGGGAAAAGCCGAAGGCCUGUGAUCAGGAGGAUGGACCCGCAGGCUGAGAAAAAGAAAAAAAAUCGGGAAAUAAAAGGUUGUCAUCACCUUUGGAUGCUGGAACAGAAUAUGAAGCAAUGAAUAUGUUCACUGUGGGAGCAGACCAGGGACCCCAGGGACUGGUGCCCCAGAUCCUGGGCUGUGGACCCUCUGCACCUUCCUGAGGACGACGGACAAUUGAGUCAGAGCGAGUCGAAGCGGCUGUAUAAAGCAAGGGGCAGGCCCGGAGGCCCCGGGGACAGGCCAGCAGUGGGGGUGGACACGGCUGCAGGCCACGGCCAUCGACUAUGAGUGCUGGAAAGACUCUUUCAUCAGCUGAAUCA